RNAcentral lists this microRNA precursor (59 nucleotides) under Lingula anatina. Its description in RNAcentral is "Lan-Mir-92-o80b_pre stem-loop". The record is from RNAcentral. Lineage: Eukaryota; Metazoa; Brachiopoda; Lingulata; Lingulida; Lingulidae.
AGGCAGUGAUGAGGGCAAUAUUGUGAAAGAAAUGGCAAAUUGCACUCGUCCCGGCCUGC